RNAcentral lists this long non-coding RNA (691 nucleotides) under Olea europaea subsp. europaea. The record is from RNAcentral. Lineage: Eukaryota; Viridiplantae; Streptophyta; Magnoliopsida; Lamiales; Oleaceae.
CUAUAUACAACUGUGCGCGCAAGGGGAAAAGAAGAAUGAUUGGAUCCAUAUGUACUGACCGCUAAAAGCAAUGCCUGUGGAGGCAAUAACGCAGGUCUGAAUGACUGUAACUUCUUGGCGGGUCAAGGCCUGCUUCAAAAUGCCAGCUUUCUCCAGUGUUUUAGUCCAAGUCUUGACAAAGAAAAAUCCCAAUAGCCCAGCAGCAACAUUCAUUGGUGGUAUAAUACCAAGACUGAAGUAGAGUUUCAUCACUAUGAAGCAUAACAUUGCUGACAACACAAAACUCACCACAAAAGCUCUUAUAGUUAACUGUUUUGUCCAUGAAGGUACCUCCUCGUUCUCAAAUAUCCCACCUACUGACAAUUCUUCAUCUUCUGAUGUGAUAAUAUUUUCAUCAUGCAAUCCAACUCCACUCUCUACACUAUUUUCCCUUCCACUGUCCAUCUGUUCCCUCUGGAUUGAAACUUUAGACUGUCUAGGAAUUUUUCUUUGGCGGGUAGAUGGUUGAUUGAAGGAAUUGGAACGUAGUUAUAUGUAAAGAGUGGAAUCACAUAUUCUCAUCAAGCGCCUGAAGGGGAACGGAGCUAGCAACUUGCACACCACCACAUGCAUUUACAUUUCAUUUGACGUUGACAGAUGUGAUUUUGCCUUAAGCUUGUGUUUCGAUAUAUAUACAGUUUGCGUGUAUUGG